CAGAACGAACGCUGGCGGCGCGUCUUAAGCAUGCAAGUCGAACGGCAAGAGGUAGCAAUACCUCCUAGAGUGGCGGACUGGUGAGUAACACGUGGGUGACAUACCCUUCAGAUGGGGAUAGCUAUUAGAAAUAGUAGAUAAUACCGAAUACGAGCACAGGGGUUAGAGAUCUGUGAGGAAAGGAGCUAAGGCUCCGCUGAAGGAAUGGCCUGCGGCCCAUUAGCUAGUUGGUGAGGUAAGAGCCCACCAAGGCGAUGAUGGGUAUCCGGCCUUAGAGGGUGAACGGACACAUUGGGACUGAGAUACGGCCCAGACUCCUACGGGAGGCAGCAGCUAAGAAUAUUCCGCAAUGGACGAAAGUCUGACGGAGCGACGCCGCGUGGAUGAAGAAGGCCGGAAGGUUGUAAAAUCCUUUUGAAACUGAAGAAUAAGCGUUGUAGGGAAUGACAGCGUGGUGACAGUAGGUUUUGAAUAAGCAACGGCUAAUUACGUGCCAGCCGCCGC
RNAcentral lists this ribosomal RNA (504 nucleotides) under uncultured bacterium. Its description in RNAcentral is "bacterial SSU rRNA". It matches the Rfam family "Bacterial small subunit ribosomal RNA", at positions 25 to 518 of the family's 1533-position model. The record is from RNAcentral.